Long non-coding RNA from Quercus lobata, 721 nucleotides. RefSeq lists it as uncharacterized. The record is from RefSeq and is a predicted model, not a curated record. NCBI's taxonomy places the organism in Eukaryota, Viridiplantae, Streptophyta, Magnoliopsida, Fagales, Fagaceae. The transcript is spliced from 2 exons.
GUUUUUCCUCUUUUUGCAAAAUCAAAAUGUUCCUCUCUCUCUCUCUCUCUCUCUCCGUUUUUCUCUCCACCACCACAGCACACCAGCACCUCCAUGACUCCAUCUUCUCUCUCAACUCCAAACCAAAAACCACUUUACUUUUCCUCUUUUCAAAAUCAAAUCUCAAUGUCUCUCUCCCCAGUCCACACGCCACCAUAGCCUUUAUUCUCUCUCAACCCCAAAUCCCAACAGCCAAUGCCCAGCGGUAGCGUCUCCGCCGACAUCACAAGUUCUGAAGAAACCGGCCUUUCUCUCGUCAGAAAAUCCCCAAAAUCUUCUCUUUUUAGCAGAACCACCCUACACCGGAAACUUCAUGCUACUCUCAACACCUGACAUUCACAAGAAGAUUGUCUAAAAUUGCUUGUUUAUAAUGGCUGUCAGAAAUUAAAUUUCAGUAGCAAUAGCAAUAUUGGAGGCAGCCACAUAUAAGCAAUAGCUUGAGGAGUAUACUUGAAGACAUGCUGAACUUAACAAAUGAGAUUGACCAAGUUUCAUUUGGGAUGUGAGAGAUGUAAAUCAAGCAACUCGUGAGCUUGCUAAGUGGGGAUUUGUUAACAAUUGGAAUGGUUUUGUAAAUUGUGGCCUUACUGGUUGGAUCAUCUGAUAUAUGUGAUCAUGAAGGAUGCUUUGGAUUGUACAAUUUGAAUUUAGUUCUUUUUAAUGAAGCUUGGUUUAUUGUAAA